Molecule: non-coding RNA, 102 nt
Filed under: Paenibacillus swuensis
Lineage: Bacteria; Bacillati; Bacillota; Bacilli; Caryophanales; Paenibacillaceae
Description: Guanine sequence
Rfam family: Purine riboswitch aptamer
About the family: Riboswitches are metabolite binding domains within certain messenger RNAs that serve as precision sensors for their corresponding targets. Allosteric rearrangement of mRNA structure is mediated by ligand binding, and this results in modulation of gene expression.
Source: Rfam by way of RNAcentral
UCGAAAUCAAUCGAAUACACUCGUAUAUACUCGGGGAUAAGGCCCGGACGUUUCUACCCAAGAACCUUAAAUUUUUGGACUACGAGAACCAGAGAAAUUCGG